GACGAACGCUGGCGGCGUGCCUAAUACAUGCAAGUAGAACGCUGAAGGAGGAGCUUGCUUCUCCGGAUGAGUUGCGAACGGGUGAGUAACGCGUAGGUAACCUGCCUGGUAGCGGGGGAUAACUAUUGGAAACGAUAGCUAAUACCGCAUAACAGUAGAUGUUGCAUGACAUUUGCUUAAAAGGUGCAAUUGCAUCACUACCAGAUGGACCUGCGUUGUAUUAGCUAGUUGGUGGGGUAACGGCUCACCAAGGCGACGAUACAUAGCCGACCUGAGAGGGUGAUCGGCCACACUGGGACUGAGACACGGCCCAGACUCCUACGGGAGGCAGCAGUAGGGAAUCUUCGGCAAUGGACGGAAGUCUGACCGAGCAACGCCGCGUGAGUGAAGAAGGUUUUCGGAUCGUAAAGCUCUGUUGUAAGAGAAGAACGAGUGUGAGAGUGGAAAGUUCACACUGUGACGGUAGCUUACCAGAAAGGGACGGCUAACUACGUG
Molecule: ribosomal RNA, 495 nt
Filed under: uncultured bacterium
Lineage: Bacteria
Description: partial 16S ribosomal RNA
Rfam family: Bacterial small subunit ribosomal RNA
Source: RNAcentral